AGGGCACCACCAGGAGUGGAGCCUGCGGCUUAAUUUGGCUCAACACGGGAAAACUCACCCGGCCCGGACACUGGAAGGAUUGACAGAUUGAGAGCUCUUUCUUGAUUCAGUGGGUGGUGGUGCAUGGCCGUUCUUAGUUGGUGGAGUGAUUUGUCUGGUUAAUUCCGAUAACGAACGAGACUCUAGCCUAUUAAAUAGAUCGUUGGCUUACAAACGCCGGCGAGACUUCUUAGAGGGACAGGCGGCGAUUCAGCCGCACGAAACAGAGCAAUAACAGGUCUGUGAUGCCCUUAGAUGUCCGGGGCCGCACGCGCGCUACACUGAAGUGAUCAGCGUGCAUUUUGAAACCUACUCUGUCAAGAGUGGGGAACCCAAUGAACCUUCUUCGUGAUUGGGAUAGGGGAUUGUAAUUAUUCCCCUUGAACGAGGAAUUCCCAGUAAGCGCGAAUCAUAAGUUUGCGCUGAUUACGUCCCUGCCCUUUGUACACACCGCCCGUCGCUACUACCGAUUGAAUGUUU
This 519-nucleotide ribosomal RNA is filed under the name uncultured eukaryote. RNAcentral's name for it is "SSU rRNA". It matches the Rfam family "Eukaryotic small subunit ribosomal RNA", at positions 1161 to 1698 of the family's 1831-position model. The record is from RNAcentral.